GAUGAAGAACGCAGCGAAAUGCGAUAAGUAAUGUGAAUUGCAGAAUUCAGUGAAUCAUCGAGUCUUUGAACGCACAUUGCGCCCCCUGGUAUUCCGGGGGGCAUGCCUGUCCGAGCGUCAUUGCUGCCCUCAAGCACGGCUUGUGUGUUGGGCCCCCGCCCCCCGGCUUCGGGGGGCGGGCCCGAAAGGCAGCGGCGGCACCGCGUCCGGUCCUCGAGCGUAUGGGGCUUCGUCACCCGCUCUGUAGGCCCGGCCGGCGCCCGCCGGCGACCCCAAUCAAUCUUUCCAGGUUGACCUCGGAGCAGGUAGGGAUACCCGCUGAACUUAAGCAUAUCAAUAAGCGGAGGA
Molecule: unclassified non-coding RNA, 348 nt
Filed under: soil metagenome
Description: partial contains 5.8S ribosomal RNA, internal transcribed spacer 2, and large subunit ribosomal RNA
Rfam family: 5.8S ribosomal RNA (bases 1-120)
Source: RNAcentral